RNAcentral lists this non-coding RNA (29 nucleotides) under Rattus norvegicus (Norway rat). The record is from RNAcentral. Lineage: Eukaryota; Metazoa; Chordata; Mammalia; Rodentia; Muridae.
UGCUGACUAUUGUGGAAGAUAUAGAUAGC